Molecule: ribosomal RNA, 253 nt
Filed under: uncultured bacterium
Lineage: Bacteria
Description: partial 16S ribosomal RNA
Rfam family: Bacterial small subunit ribosomal RNA
Source: RNAcentral
UACGAAGGAUGCAAGCGUUACUCGGAAUUACUGGGCGUAAAGCGUGCGUAGGCGGUUUGUUAAGUCCGUUGUGAAAGCCCUGGGCUCAACCUGGGAAUUGCAGUGGAUACUGGCGAGCUAGAGUGCGGUAGAGGAUGGUGGAAUUCCCGGUGUAGCGGUGAAAUGCGUAGAGAUCGGGAGGAACACCCGUGGCGAAGGCGGCCAUCUGGACCAGCACUGACGCUGAGGCACGAAAGCGUGGGGAGCAAACAGG